RNAcentral lists this unclassified non-coding RNA (479 nucleotides) under Hevea brasiliensis (rubber tree). Lineage: Eukaryota; Viridiplantae; Streptophyta; Magnoliopsida; Malpighiales; Euphorbiaceae. The record is from RNAcentral.
GCAGUUGAACAUACAAACACAACCUAUAGUCCAACAGAGAAGAAAAAAAAAAUUAUAUUAAAGUGAAACUAAUUGACAACUUUAUUGUCCAGUUAAGCAUUGGAGCCAAGGCCACUGGUCAAAAAUGUCCAGGCAAUUACCCACCAAAUAACUGCUAUAAUGAGAUGGUAAAUGUUAACCAAGCAUCUCAAUAAAGGUUUUCAAUGAACAAGAAAGAGGCUAAUUUCUCCUAUGGUCACUGAACUUCCAUUAAAUUUCAAUAUGGUCACUAAUUUUAAUUUGUAUCAGAAAAAUACCCAACUUCAAUUUACUUUCAGUAAGUUCACUUCAGCUAGUUUUUUAUAAGAAUUUAACCAAUUUUUUAUGCGAUGAUAAAAUAUAAAAGUUCCAUAGCAUAUAGAACUAUAUAGUUUUGCUUGUGUCAAAAUAUGCUUGAAAUUUUAUCAAAAUUUAGCAAUAAUAACCUUGUUAAAAUAAAA